Molecule: ribosomal RNA, 253 nt
Filed under: uncultured bacterium
Lineage: Bacteria
Description: partial 16S ribosomal RNA
Rfam family: Bacterial small subunit ribosomal RNA
Source: RNAcentral
UACAGAGGGUGCGAGCGUUAAUCGGAAUUACUGGGCGUAAAGCGCACGUAGGUGGCUUCGCAAGUCGAUUGUGAAAUCCCCGGGCUUAACCUGGGAACUGCAGUCGAGACUGCUCUGCUUGAGUAUGGGAGAGGGAGGUGGAAUUUCCGGUGUAGCGGUGAAAUGCGUAGAUAUCGGAAGGAACAUCAGUGGCGAAGGCGACCUCCUGGACCAAUACUGACACUCAAGUGCGAAAGCGUGGGGAGCAAACAGG